Molecule: microRNA precursor, 67 nt
Filed under: Xenopus laevis (African clawed frog)
Lineage: Eukaryota; Metazoa; Chordata; Amphibia; Anura; Pipidae
Description: Xla-Mir-181-P1b3_pre stem-loop
Rfam family: mir-181 microRNA precursor family
About the family: In this case the mature sequence comes from the 5' arm of the precursor. The extents of the hairpin precursors are not generally known and are estimated based on hairpin prediction.
Source: RNAcentral
AACAUUCAACGCUGUCGGUGAGUUUGAGAAAGUAUAAAAAUGUAAACCAUCGGCCGUUGACUGUACC